UCUCUGGUAGCUCAGUCGGUAAAGAAUCUGCCUGCAAUGCAGGAGACCUGGGUUCAAUUCCUGGGUUGGGAA
This 72-nucleotide transfer RNA is filed under the name Bos indicus x Bos taurus (hybrid cattle). It matches the Rfam family "tRNA". From Rfam's summary of the family: Transfer RNA (tRNA) molecules are approximately 80 nucleotides in length. Their secondary structure includes four short double-helical elements and three loops (D, anti-codon, and T loops). Lineage: Eukaryota; Metazoa; Chordata; Mammalia; Artiodactyla; Bovidae. The record is from Rfam by way of RNAcentral.